RNAcentral lists this transfer RNA (69 nucleotides) under Agrilus planipennis (emerald ash borer). It matches the Rfam family "tRNA". From Rfam's summary of the family: Transfer RNA (tRNA) molecules are approximately 80 nucleotides in length. Their secondary structure includes four short double-helical elements and three loops (D, anti-codon, and T loops). Further hydrogen bonds mediate the characteristic L-shaped molecular structure. tRNAs have two regions of fundamental functional importance: the anti-codon, which is responsible for specific mRNA codon recognition, and the 3' end, to which the tRNAs corresponding amino acid is attached (by aminoacyl-tRNA synthetases). tRNAs cope with the degeneracy of the genetic code in two manners: having more than one tRNA (with a specific anti-codon) for a particular amino acid; and 'wobble' base-pairing, i.e. permitting non-standard base-pairing at the 3rd anti-codon position. The record is from Rfam by way of RNAcentral. Lineage: Eukaryota; Metazoa; Arthropoda; Insecta; Coleoptera; Buprestidae.
CCCUUCGUAGCUUAGUGGUAGAGCAAUGGUGCAUAAGUCAAGAACUGGGUUCGAUUCCCGGCGAGGGCU